UUAAGCGACUAAGCGUACACGGUGGAUGCCCUGGCAGUCAGAGGCGAUGAAGGACGUGCUAAUCUGCGAUAAGCGUCGGUGAGGUGAUAUGAACCGUUAUAACCGGCGAUUUCCGAAUGGGGAAACCCAGUGUGUUUCGACACACUAUCAUUAACUGAAUCCAUAGGUUAAUGAGGCGAACCGGGGGAACUGAAACAUCUAAGUACCCCGAGGAAAAGAAAUCAACCGAGAUUCCCCCAGUAGCGGCGAGCGAACGGGGAGGAGCCCAGAGCCUGAAUCAGUGUGUGUGUUAGUGGAAGCGUCUGGAAAGGCGUGCGAUACAGGGUGACAGCCCCGUACACAAAAAUGCACAUAUUGUGAGCUCGAUGAGUAGGGCGGGACACGUGGUAUCCUGUCUGAAUAUGGGGGGACCAUCCUCCAAGGCUAAAUACUCCUGACUGACCGAUAGUGAACCAGUACCGUGAGGGAAAGGCGAAAAGAACCCCGGCGAGGGGAGUGAAAAAGAACCUGAAACCGUGUACGUACAAGCAGUGGGAGCCUCUUAAUGAGGUGACUGCGUACCUUUUGUAUAAUGGGUCAGCGACUUAUAUUCUGUAGCAAGGUUAACCGAAUAGGGGAGCCGAAGGGAAACCGAGUCUUAACUGGGCGUUAAGUUGCAGGGUAUAGACCCGAAACCCGGUGAUCUAGCCAUGGGCAGGUUGAAGGUUGGGUAACACUAACUGGAGGACCGAACCGACUAAUGUUGAAAAAUUAGCGGAUGACUUGUGGCUGGGGGUGAAAGGCCAAUCAAACCGGGAGAUAGCUGGUUCUCCCCGAAAGCUAUUUAGGUAGCGCCUCGUGAAUUCAUCUCCGGGGGUAGAGCACUGUUUCGGCAAGGGGGUCAUCCCGACUUACCAACCCGAUGCAAACUGCGAAUACCGGAGAAUGUUAUCACGGGAGACACACGGCGGGUGCUAACGUCCGUCGUGAAGAGGGAAACAACCCAGACCGCCAGCUAAGGUCCCAAAGUCAUGGUUAAGUGGGAAACGAUGUGGGAAGGCCCAGACAGCCAGGAUGUUGGCUUAGAAGCAGCCAUCAUUUAAAGAAAGCGUAAUAGCUCACUGGUCGAGUCGGCCUGCGCGGAAGAUGUAACGGGGCUAAACCAUGCACCGAAGCUGCGGCAGCGACACUAUGUGUUGUUGGGUAGGGGAGCGUUCUGUAAGCCUGUGAAGGUGGCCUGUGAGGGUUGCUGGAGGUAUCAGAAGUGCGAAUGCUGACAUAAGUAACGAUAAAGCGGGUGAAAAGCCCGCUCGCCGGAAGACCAAGGGUUCCUGUCCAACGUUAAUCGGGGCAGGGUGAGUCGACCCCUAAGGCGAGGCCGAAAGGCGUAGUCGAUGGGAAACAGGUUAAUAUUCCUGUACUUGGUGUUACUGCGAAGGGGGGACGGAGAAGGCUAUGUUGGCCGGGCGACGGUUGUCCCGGUUUAAGCGUGUAGGCUGGUUUUCCAGGCAAAUCCGGAAAACCAAGGCUGAGGCGUGAUGACGAGGCACUACGGUGCUGAAGCGACAAAUGCCCUGCUUCCAGGAAAAGCCUCUAAGCAUCAGGUAACAUCAAAUCGUACCCCAAACCGACACAGGUGGUCAGGUAGAGAAUACCAAGGCGCUUGAGAGAACUCGGGUGAAGGAACUAGGCAAAAUGGUGCCGUAACUUCGGGAGAAGGCACGCUGAUAUGUAGGUGAAGUGCCUCGCUCGUGGAGCUGAAAUCAGUCGAAGAUACCAGCUGGCUGCAACUGUUUAUUAAAAACACAGCACUGUGCAAACACGAAAGUGGACGUAUACGGUGUGACGCCUGCCCGGUGCCGGAAGGUUAAUUGAUGGGGUUAGCGGCAACGCGAAGCUCUUGAUCGAAGCCCCGGUAAACGGCGGCCGUAACUAUAACGGUCCUAAGGUAGCGAAAUUCCUUGUCGGGUAAGUUCCGACCUGCACGAAUGGCGUAAUGAUGGCCAGGCUGUCUCCACCCGAGACUCAGUGAAAUUGAACUCGCUGUGAAGAUGCAGUGUACCCGCGGCAAGACGGAAAGACCCCGUGAACCUUUACUAUAGCUUGACACUGAACAUUGAGCCUUGAUGUGUAGGAUAGGUGGGAGGCUUUGAAGUGUGGACGCCAGUCUGCAUGGAGCCGACCUUGAAAUACCACCCUUUAAUGUUUGAUGUUCUAACGUGGGCCCCUAAUCGGGGUUGCGGACAGUGUCUGGUGGGUAGUUUGACUGGGGCGGUCUCCUCCUAAAGAGUAACGGAGGAGCACGAAGGUUGGCUAAUCCUGGUCGGACAUCAGGAGGUUAGUGCAAUGGCAUAAGCCAGCUUGACUGCGAGCGUGACGGCGCGAGCAGGUGCGAAAGCAGGUCAUAGUGAUCCGGUGGUUCUGAAUGGAAGGGCCAUCGCUCAACGGAUAAAAGGUACUCCGGGGAUAACAGGCUGAUACCGCCCAAGAGUUCAUAUCGACGGCGGUGUUUGGCACCUCGAUGUCGGCUCAUCACAUCCUGGGGCUGAAGUAGGUCCCAAGGGUAUGGCUGUUCGCCAUUUAAAGUGGUACGCGAGCUGGGUUUAGAACGUCGUGAGACAGUUCGGUCCCUAUCUGCCGUGGGCGCUGGAGAACUGAGGGGGGCUGCUCCUAGUACGAGAGGACCGGAGUGGACGCAUCACUGGUGUUCGGGUUGUCAUGCCAAUGGCACUGCCCGGUAGCUAAAUGCGGAAGAGAUAAGUGCUGAAAGCAUCUAAGCACGAAACUUGCCCCGAGAUGAGUUCUCCCUGACUCCUUGAGAGUCCUGAAGGAACGUUGAAGACGACGACGUUGAUAGGCCGG
RNAcentral lists this ribosomal RNA (2841 nucleotides) under Escherichia coli HVH 138 (4-6066704). Its description in RNAcentral is "bacterial LSU rRNA". It matches the Rfam family "Bacterial large subunit ribosomal RNA". The record is from RNAcentral. Lineage: Bacteria; Pseudomonadati; Pseudomonadota; Gammaproteobacteria; Enterobacterales; Enterobacteriaceae.